GAAAUACUCCCUCCGUCCGGAAAUACUCGUCGUAGAAAUGAAUGUAUCUAGAUGAUUUUAGUUUUAGAUAUAUCUAUUUUUAUACAUUUGUGCGAUAAGUAAUUCCGGACGAAUGGAGUAGCAG
Non-coding RNA from Hordeum vulgare subsp. vulgare (domesticated barley), 124 nucleotides. The record is from Rfam. Lineage: Eukaryota; Viridiplantae; Streptophyta; Magnoliopsida; Poales; Poaceae.